UUAUUAAAUUAUUUUUGUUCAGCUUCAGACUUUUAUAAAAAGGUUUGUUGGAUAAUCUUCUGGAGGACGAGAAGCAAAGAACUCUUCACUCCCCGUUUUAAACCUCCAGAAGAGGUGACGACAACAGUGCACAGAGGGUUGAUAUGGAUGUAAAUCACCCAUAAGGUGAAUUUGUUAAUGAUCCUUCCGCAGGUUCACCUACGGAAA
This 207-nucleotide unclassified non-coding RNA is filed under the name uncultured fungus. Its description in RNAcentral is "sequence contains ITS1". The record is from RNAcentral. Lineage: Eukaryota; Fungi.